RNAcentral lists this ribosomal RNA (497 nucleotides) under uncultured bacterium. RNAcentral's name for it is "partial 16S ribosomal RNA". It matches the Rfam family "Bacterial small subunit ribosomal RNA", at positions 28 to 507 of the family's 1533-position model. The record is from RNAcentral.
GAUGAACGCUGGCGGCGUGCCUAAUACAUGCAAGUCGAGCGAACAGAUGAGGAGCUUGCUCCUCUGACGUUAGCGGCGGACGGGUGAGUAACACGUGGAUAACCUACCUAUAAGACUGGUAUAACUUCGGGAAACCGGAGCUAAUACCGUAUAAUAUAUUGAACCGCAUGGUUCAAUAGUGAAAUACGGUUUUGCUGUCACUUAUAGAUGGAUCCGCGCCGCAUUAGAUAGUUGGUAAGGUAACGGCUUACCAAGGCAACGAUGCGUAGCCGACCUGAGAGGGUGAUCGGCCACACUGGAACUGGGACACGGACCAGACGCCUACGGGAGGCAGCAGUAGGGAAUCUUCCGCAAUGGGCGAAAGCCUGACGGAGCAACGCCGCGUGAGUGAUGAAGGUCUUCGGAUCGUAAAACUCUGUUAUUAGGGAAGAACAAAUGUGUAAGUAACUAUGCACGUCUUGACGGUACCUAAUCAGAAAGCCACGGCUAACUACGUG